Molecule: ribosomal RNA, 378 nt
Filed under: uncultured bacterium
Lineage: Bacteria
Description: bacterial SSU rRNA
Rfam family: Bacterial small subunit ribosomal RNA
Source: RNAcentral
AUUGAACGCUGGCGGCAUGCUUUACACAUGCAAGUCGAGCGGCAGCGCGGGGCAACCUGGCGGCGAGCGGCGAACGGGUGAGUAACAUAUCGGAACGUACCCAGUCGUGGGGGAUAACUAUCCGAAAGGAUAGCUAAUACCGCAUACGACCUGAGGGUGAAAGCGGGGGACCGAAAGGCCUCGCGCGAUUGGAGCGGCCGAUAUCGGAUUAGCUAGUUGGUGAGGUAAAGGCUCACCAAGGCGACGAUCCGUAGCUGGUCUGAGAGGACGACCAGCCACACUGGAACUGAGACACGGUCCAGACUCCUACGGGAGGCAGCAGUGGGGAAUUUUGGACAAUGGGGGCGAACCCUGAUCCAGCCAUGCCGCGUGAGUGAA